GCAAACUUGGUCAUUUAGAGGAAGUAAAAGUCGUAACAAGGUUUCCGUAGGUGAACCUGCGGAAGGAUCAUUACCGAGUUAGGGUCCUCUGGGCCCGAACCUCCCAACCCUUUGUCUACCCAACCUCUGUUGCCUCGGCGGGCCCGUCCUUCACCGGACCGCCGGAGGACCCGUCGCCCUGCGGCGGUGCCUCUGGCCCGUGCCCGCCGGUGGCCCAACCAUUGAAACUCUUUGUUUAAAUCGUGUCCAUUUAGUCUAAAUUCAAAACCAAAAAUAAAACGCAAAACUUUCAACAACGGAUCUCUUGGUUCUGGCAUCGAUGAAGAACGCAGC
RNAcentral lists this unclassified non-coding RNA (333 nucleotides) under uncultured fungus. RNAcentral describes it as "partial contains small subunit ribosomal RNA, internal transcribed spacer 1, and 5.8S ribosomal RNA". The stretch from base 1 to 73 matches the Rfam family "Eukaryotic small subunit ribosomal RNA", at positions 1759 to 1831 of the family's 1831-position model. Lineage: Eukaryota; Fungi. The record is from RNAcentral.